This 706-nucleotide ribosomal RNA is filed under the name Periconia macrospinosa. Its description in RNAcentral is "partial large subunit ribosomal RNA". It matches the Rfam family "Eukaryotic large subunit ribosomal RNA", at positions 84 to 808 of the family's 3401-position model. The record is from RNAcentral. Lineage: Eukaryota; Fungi; Ascomycota; Dothideomycetes; Pleosporales; Periconiaceae.
UAACGGCGAGUGAAGCGGCAACAGCUCAAAUUUGAAAUCUGGCCCCUUUGGGGUCCGAGUUGUAAUUUGCAGAGGGUGCUUUGGCGUUGGCGGCGGUCUAAGUUCCUUGGAACAGGACAUCGCAGAGGGUGAGAAUCCCGUAUGUGGUCGCAUGCCUUCGCCGUGUAAAGCCCCUUCGACGAGUCGAGUUGUUUGGGAAUGCAGCUCUAAAUGGGAGGUAAAUUUCUUCUAAAGCUAAAUACCGGCCAGAGACCGAUAGCGCACAAGUAGAGUGAUCGAAAGAUGAAAAGCACUUUGGAAAGAGAGUCAAACAGCACGUGAAAUUGUUGAAAGGGAAGCGCUUGCAGCCAGACUUGCCUGUAGUUGCUCACCCGGGCUCCUGCCCGGGGCACUCUUCUGCAGGCAGGCCAGCAUCAGUUUGGGCGGUCGGAUAAAGGGCUCUGACACGUACUUCCCCUCGGGGUUGACAUACAGGGGAGCCGCAAUGCGACCAGCCCGGACUGAGGUCCGCGCAUCUGCUAGGAUGCUGGCGUAAUGGCUGUAAGCGGCCCGUCUUGAAACACGGACCAAGGAGUCUAACAUCUAUGCGAGUGUUUGGGUGUCAAGCCCGAGCGCGUAAUGAAAGUGAACGGAGGUGGGAGCCCCUCGGGGUGCACCAUCGACCGAUCCUGAUGUCUUCGGAUGGAUUUGAGUAAGAGCAUAGCUG